This is a long non-coding RNA of Meriones unguiculatus (Mongolian gerbil), 748 nucleotides long. RefSeq lists it as uncharacterized. The record is from RefSeq and is a predicted model, not a curated record. The transcript has 2 exons. NCBI's taxonomy places the organism in Eukaryota, Metazoa, Chordata, Mammalia, Rodentia, Muridae.
GUGGUCUCUUGCUUCCCAGUACCUUGGAGUGUCAUAGGAGUUAUGCAGACCUUCGGUAGCACACUUGUGAAGUGGCAAGAGCCGUGGAAGGAGGCAGUGCGUAGACAGAGUGGCUCACAGCAGAUGCAGCAGUAUAUUGAACUCUCUUCGAGUCAUAUCGCAUUGGAAGCCACAAGGAAGGCAGGCAGCAGCAGCAGCACAGCUUAAACUUGGUGUGAAGUGGCCCCCUUCCACGAACCCUCAAAGUUGAAUACAGACCCACAUUCCACAGGAAGCUUGUUGAAAAUUCGCACGCCCCGGUGAGACACCUCCAAGGGCUGGCGCACUGUGCCGCCUCUGCCAAGGAUGGGGAACGCAUUUUAAAUGGCUCCACCCGGCCAUCCCGAAAGCAGCAAGGCAAGAGCAACACCAUGGGGGUAGCGUGGGCCUCUCUGACAGCACGAAGGCUGGUUCUCUGUGCGCCCCCCAAGCAAGCUCCACUAUUUAUGCAGCGCUGAAAUCAAUGCUGUUCUUUGCAGCGUCAUAUAAAACAGAGCUGGUUCCCCUGUGAAGAAAAUGGCCUUUUCCUUCCCUCUGUCUGCUCGACUCCACUGCUGGAAGAGGGCACCGUCUCACUGUUCCAGAAGGCUUAGGCUGAAGUUUAACUUCACUGUCAACAUCCCGAGGGGUGGCAUUUAUUUUCAGUGUUCAUGCUGAAUUAGGAAAGAAUGUGAAACUAAUCAGAGCCAAUUAAAGCUUCCACCCUGAA